CCUACGGGAGGCAGCAGUCGAGAAUCAUUCACAAUGGGGGAAACCCUGAUGGUGCGACGCCGCGUGGGGGAAUGAAGGUCUUCGGAUUGUAAACCCCUGUCAUGUGGGAGCAAAUUAAAAAGAUAGUACCACAAGAGGAAGAGACGGCUAACUCUGUGCCAGCAGCCGCGGUAAUACAGAGGUCUCAAGCGUUGUUCGGAAUCACUGGGCGUAAAGCGUGCGUAGGCUGUUUCGUAAGUCGUGUGUGAAAGGCGCGGGCUCAACCCGCGGACGGAACAUGAUACUGCGAGACUAGAGUAAGGGAGGGGGAAGCGGAAUUCUCGGUGUAGCAGUGAAAUGCGUAGAUAUCGAGAGGAACACUCGUGGCGAAGGCGGGUUCCUGGACAUUAACUGACGCUGAGGCACGAAGGCCAGGGGAGCGAAAGGGAUUAGAUACCCGAGUAGUC
This 446-nucleotide ribosomal RNA is filed under the name uncultured bacterium. RNAcentral's name for it is "partial 16S ribosomal RNA". It matches the Rfam family "Bacterial small subunit ribosomal RNA", at positions 338 to 795 of the family's 1533-position model. The record is from RNAcentral.